RNAcentral lists this small nucleolar RNA (74 nucleotides) under Hippocampus comes (tiger tail seahorse). RNAcentral's name for it is "Small nucleolar RNA SNORD47 (ENSHCOG00000000073.1)". The record is from RNAcentral. Lineage: Eukaryota; Metazoa; Chordata; Actinopteri; Syngnathiformes; Syngnathidae.
UACACAUGAUGAAGAGAUUCUGCCAAAUGAACUCUGAUUAUAUCCAAUACCGUUCCAUAUUUUCUGACCUUGUG